Phragmites australis (common reed) is the source of this 1366-nucleotide long non-coding RNA. RefSeq lists it as uncharacterized. Lineage: Eukaryota; Viridiplantae; Streptophyta; Magnoliopsida; Poales; Poaceae. The record is from RefSeq and is a predicted model, not a curated record. The transcript is spliced from 6 exons.
CAUUCACCGGCCGCCUCCCUCCUAUCGGGCGCCGGCGAGCCCUCAAGCCAGGCUACGGUGGCCAGAUCUGACACCGGUGGUGGGAGAGGCCAUCGAGAUAGGGACGGGUCAAGAUGGAUCAGGUUGAGGCCCUCUGGCACCGCCGUGUCGCCUCCUCCUCAAUCGCGUCGUCGUCGUCUCUGGAGGCGGCAGCAUGUGGACGGAGAUGACAUAGAAAAAGGGACAAGAAGCAGACAAGGUACCUCGUCCCCAUGAUCUGUGCGAUGGCGGCAAGGUCUACAAGGGGCAUGGCGCUAAUGGCGGAGGACACCAUGAAGUUUUUUGGCAAAAUGCUUGAGACGAGGAUGUGCCCAAUGUGAAUAUCAACACCUUUGCUGUGAAAUGCCAGGGAGGUCGAGGAUGUUGAGCAGCUGCUGUGGUCAUGAAGUAGAAGGUGUGCGUGCCCAAUGUGCUCUUGUACCGCUCAUGUGUUUUUGUGGUCCUCAAUGACCCCAGCCUCAAACGCUUGAGCAAACAUCCGACUAUGAUGUAAUGAAAGGAGAUGUGGAAGCAGUGCAUUUGUUUUCUGCAGGAUGAAGUCGUUCAAAUAUGUUGGAUUGGCAGUUGGCUGUGAGUGUGGUGAUUUUCUCUGCCUUGAAAUGCAUUCAUCUAGUUGAGCACAUGCCACUCCGCUGCUCCAAGGGAUACAUAUUGGUCACCGGCUACAACUUUUACCACCCUGAGCAAUUCGAUUUGUCUCGACGCCACGCCAUGGAGGUUUGACACUGAUGUCAUGGGUGUAUUUAUAGGCUUGACCAGAGGCAUCAGACACAUCUGUUGGAGUAAAGAUUUUUGCCUGCUUUGUACAUGACUCUUCCAGCAGUUUGCAAAGUAAGGUCAUGCUGAGUCAAUUCGCCAGAUCCAUUUCUAGAGGGCAAUGCCACCUCUACCAUGGGAUGGUGGAGAUGAUUCAAAUAAUAACCGGUGUCGCCUCACUGCUGCCCUCCGCUACUACGCUGAUGCGUUUUUAGCGUUGCUGGGUUUCAAGGUGACCAAAAACUGGGAAAUGACACUGAACUGUUUCGUGACACAUUGUCUGCUUCUUACGGAAAUUUUGCUCCGCAUUUCUUUGGCUGGUAUUAGUCUUAUGUGUGUUGUAUUUCUGCUGGGUAGCAAUCCAAUCUGUACGUGGUGGGCAUAGUACGAGGUGUUGUUCACCAGCAGAAUGGCGAGGCCUUGACUAAUGAUGUUCAAGUGUGACUGAAUCAGGAUACACAUGCAUAUCAAUUCUAUCUUCACUUGGGUAUGACGGUGUACUACUGUGGUAAUGUGAUUUUGGUUAGCUCUGGUUCGAUAUAUGAAAUCAUCUAUUAUUCCUUUUGUUUAA